CCCCGCUCUACCCCACCAGACCCACUCGCCUCCCAGAGCCGGGGGAGAACCCAGGCAUCCGGGCUCCCCGCUGCGUGCCGUGACCACACCCCGUGUCUCCGAAGGCGCCGGCUGUCGGGGAGAUCCGGUGGGAGGACACUGGCUGAGCUCACCAGGACCCUGGAGGACGCCAAGGCGGCGCUGGAGCGACUGAGCACAGAGUGCUGCUCCCUGCAGGG
Molecule: non-coding RNA, 218 nt
Organism: Chrysemys picta bellii (western painted turtle)
Lineage: Eukaryota; Metazoa; Chordata; Testudines; Emydidae
Source: RefSeq, a predicted model, not a curated record